Molecule: ribosomal RNA, 793 nt
Filed under: uncultured archaeon
Lineage: Archaea
Description: bacterial SSU rRNA
Rfam family: Archaeal small subunit ribosomal RNA
Source: RNAcentral
ACUGCUCAGUAACACGUGGACAACCUGCCCUUAGGUUGGGUAUAAACCCGGGAAACUGGGUAUAAUACCCGAUAGGUCUCGAUUGCUGGAAUGCAUCGAGAUUUAAAGCUCCGGCGCCUAAGGAUGGGUCUGCGGCCUAUUGGGUAGUAGUGGGUGUAGCGUACCUACUAGCCUACGACGGGUACGGGUUGUGAGAGCAAGAGCCCGGAGAUGGAUUCUGAGACACGAAUCCAGGCCCUACGGGGUGCAGCAGGCGCGAAAACUUUACAAUGCUGGCAACAGCGAUAAGGGAACCUCGAGUGCCAGGUUACAAAUCUGGCUGUCGAGAUGCCUAAAAAGCAUUUCAUAGCAAGGGCCGGGCAAGACCGGUGCCAGCCGCCGCGGUAACACCGGCGGCUCGAGUGGUAACCGUUAUUAUUGGGUCUAAAGGGUCUGUAGCCGGCCGGAUAAGUCUCUUGAGAAAUCUGGCAGCUUAACUGUCAGGCUUUCAGGAGAUACUGUCUGGCUCGAGGCCGGGAGAGGUGAGAGGUACUUCAGGGGUAGGGGUGAAAUCUUGUAAUCCUUGAAGGACCACCAGUGGCGAAGGCGUCUCACCAGAACGGACCUGACGGCAAGGGACGAAAGCUAGGGGCACGAACCGGAUUAGAUACCCGGGUAGUCCUAGCCGUAAACGAUACUCGCUAGGUGUCGGCCACGGUGCGACCGUUGUCGGUGCCGUAGGGAAGCCGUGAAGCGAGCCACCUGGGAAGUACGGCCGCAAGGCUGAAACUUAAAGGAAUUGGCGGGGGAGCAC